UCGACGAGAAUGUUGUCCGCCUGUCCGUUGUUUCGGUUGGUUGUGAACUUUUUGUCCUCGCCUCAUCUCCCGGCGAUCUGAUCUCCUCCGCUCGGGAUGGUCACUUGCCGUGCUCCAUAGGUCGAUCUUGCACCUGGACUUUCGUAGGCAAGCCUUCACUAUCCGGCGCGCUCUGGGUUGAUGGAUUCCGGCGACAGCGUCGAUGGGAGCCCGGACGAGCCAAAGACUCCCAACAGGGGUAGAUCGAAGAAGACUAAGAAGGAAACUGAAAGCGUAUUGAAGCAGAAAUCGCCUGCUGAGUUCUUCGCUGAGAACAAGAACAUAGCUGGAUUUGACAAUGUAAGCUGUAACAGUAGCUGCAUCCAUUCCGUUAUUUCUUUUGACGUAUUAUUUUUGCCUUUUAUUUCUGAUGGACAGUUUAUUUUUGAUCAACUUACAAGUUUUUUUAUCAAGUGAACAUCUUUUUCCCCCACCAGCCUGGGAAAUCAUUAUACACUACUAUUCGAGAACUUGUGGAAAAUGCUCUUGACUCUGCUGAGGCAAUUUCUCAGCUUCCAGAUAUUGAGUUAGUAAUUUGUCGUGAGUUUUGUUUUACAGGAUAAUGGGAGAGGAAUGCCACAUGAUGAGAUACCAAACAUGUUUGGAAGAGUUCUUUCUGGUACAAAGUAUGGUUUGAAACAAACUCGUGGGAAAUUUGGACUUGGUGCAAAAAUGGUACCUUGGCUUCUUUUGCAUCACUCUUUCACAUUGUAGAGCAUGAUGUGAACCUGGGUUAUGGAGGAAACAUGCUGGAUUAUCUGGAUCAUGGGAAACAAGCCUAAAACAUGAAUUGUAUAUUUCAGGGGCUAAAACACAAAAGGGGAAUUAGGCAAUUUAUAUUGUAGAGUUAGUUAUAUCUUCAUGAUAGUUAUGUUUUCAUGUUUUAGAGUAUGUGUGUGUGGUUAUAAGUUGGUGGGAAGUUAGUGGGGAAGGGAUUUAAGAAUUAUUAUCAAAAGAGAUUAUGGUCUUUGGCGGGUGGAGAGAGUUUCUCUAUCAGAUUUGAGUGCUUUUGUUGUACUGCUUUUGUUAACUCUAAUACAAUUUGGUGUGUUUCUUUAUUCUGAGUUUUGGAACCCUAACAUUGGGGAAGGGAUUUAAGAAUUAUUAUCAAAAGAGAUUAUGGUCUUUGGCAGGUGGAGAGAGUUUCUCUAUCAGAUUUGAGUGCUUUUGUUGUACUGCUUUUGUUAACUCUAAUACAAUUCGGUGUGUUUCUUUAUUCUGAGUUUUGGAACCCUAAUAUUGGUUCAACCUGCCGGAUGUAAGAGAGAUUGUAUGCUUAGAAGGAAUGCUAAAUAUGUCAGAUAGGGUUAAUGUUUUGGAAGAGUGGGUCGACGCAAGAAGGAAGUUUGGAGGAAAUCAGAAGUAUUAUGCAACGAUUGAUGUCUGAAGUACAACAACAUGGUUCUCUUUUAUAAGAGAUCAACAAGCAAUUUAGGUACAAGGGUUGAAGCAACACCAUUGAAAGGGGCAUUCAUUUCUGCUGAUUAGUCAUCUCAAUCUGAGCCUCAAGAACAUAAAAGUGAUCAAUUGGAGGAGUACAAGAUGUCUAUUAAGAAAGUAGAAUUACCAAUGGUGGAUGGUUGGGAUCCAGUGGCAUGGAUUACUAGGGCUGAAAUUUAUUUGGAAGUCCAGAAUUCUUCUGAUGAAGUUAAGGUCAAGUUGGCACAUGUAAGUAUGGAAGACUAUUAUUCAUUGGUUUAAUCUUAUUAAGGAGACCAAAGUUAAUCUAAUUUAGGAAAAACUUAAACGCACUCAUUGCUCGUUAUGGAAGGUGUGCACAUGAAAAUCCUUUUGAAGAGUGGGCAGCUUUAAAACAAAUUGGAAAUGUGGAAGAAUUUAUUGAAGCCUUUGAGUUGAUUAAUUUACAAGUUCCAUGUCUAUUAGAAGAGUAGUAUGUUGACUAUUUCAUGAGUGGAUUAUAACCUCAUAUCGAACGCUAAGUCCAUUGUCUAGAGUGCAAUUAGUGUGCAUGGCAAAGGAUGUUGAAGAGGAAUUGUUAGAGGAAGGGGGGAUUUCACAAAAGACAUUUGGGAAGGAGAAGUUAUGGAGCAAUUUUGGCUAUGGCAGUGCUGGUUUGGGCAAUUUUCGGCCAUAUGUUGGGAAUAAUUCAAUUCAAAAGAAAUUGGGUCAAUCUUUUCAAAUGGACAAAACUAGUACAACAACAGGAUGGUGUUCCAACAAGAUUCGUGACUCUAAGGAAGCUAGUAACGCAGGUUCUGCAUCAAAUAGAAAUCUUUCUUUCUCCCAAGCCUCCGCUGCACGAAAAGGAGAAGGAGAUAAGCAAGGGUUCAUGGAAAAAUUCAUAGGAAUUCAUUCCAUUUCUUACCCAAAAUUAUUGGAAAGAAGGGCCAAGGAAUUAUGCUUCAAAUGUGGUGAAAAAUUCUACCCACUUCACCAAUGUGCAGAAAAACAAUUGAAGUUAUUAGUGUUAGAAUAAAAUGAAAAAUUAAAUUUAGAUGGAGAGAUAAUGGGUCUUGAGGCAGAGACUUUAGAAGAUGAGGAGUUGGAGUGUAAAUUUAUAAGAUUAUUGGUAUGAAUUCAGAGAGUAUAAAUGCCAACAGAACCAUGAAAUUAAAAGGCAAAUUAAUGGGAAUUGAUAUUGUGGUGCUUAUAGAUAGCGGAGCCAACCACAAUUUAUUUCUCCUCAAUUAACUGUAGCUAUCGUAUUGAAGGUGCAAGAAAUAAGGAAAUUGGGAAUUAAACUUGGUGAUGAGUAUAAAGUGUUUACUAAAGGUAAGUGCCCCGAGUUAUAGAUUCGCUUGGGAACUUUUGAGUUGAAAACAAAGACAUGUAUUAGAAUUGGGAGGUGUAGAUGUAGUCUUGGGAGUUUCUUGGUUGAAAACAUUGGGGAAAGUUGUAAUGGAUUGGAAGGAGAUGAUCAUGCAGUUCCAUCAUGAAGAUAUUUUAGUCACUCUACAAGGUAAGUUUGAGGUAGUGAAGAAGAGUAAACAAACAGAAAAAAGGGGGGCAGAAUCAUGCUCCCUAUAUUGCCUUUUGCAAGGGCAUUCUCUUACUAUUGAUGAAUUUUUAUGGGCAGCAGAGGGAGUUCCUUCUUGAACAAUAUUACCACUAGAAUCAGAAUUGAAUGCAUCACAAAAACUGGAAUUAUCACUAGAAAGAUUUAUUACAGUUUUCAAAAAGAAAAUAGGUUGUCAUCUAAGUGAAGUCAACAACAUGCUAUAGUGUUGCAAGAAGGGCAGAUUCCUAUUUGUGUGCAUCCAUAUCGUUACCCACAUCAUCAAAAGGAGGAAAUCGAAAGACAGGUUCAAGAAAUGUUGCAAUCGAGAUUUAUUCGGCCUAGAGUAAGUUCUUUCUCUAAUCUUGUUUUAUUGGUUAAAAAAAAGAUUUAUCAUGGAGAAUGUGUGUUGAUUAUAGAGCAUUAAAUAAUGUCACAAUUCUAGAUAAGUAUCCUAUCCCUGUGGUAGCUGAAUUACUUGAUGAGUUAUUUGGAACUAUGAUUUUUUCAAAAAUUGACUUGAAAUCAGGGCAUCAUCAUAUUAGAGUAAAAGAGGAAGGUAUUUAUAAGACUGCAUUUCACACUCACAAUAUACAUUAUGAAUUUUUAGUUAUGCCUUUUGGGCUCACUAAUGCCUUGCAACCUUUCAAGUAGUAAUGAUUUAUAUAAACCGUUCCUUCUUUGUAAGUUUGUAUUGUUUUUUUUUAUGAUAUUUUAGUGUACAAUUCUGAUUGGCCUACACAUUUGUUUCAUCUUUCUAUGGUGUUGGAAGUUCUUAAGAAUCAAUUUGUGGCUAACUCCAAGAAGUAUAGUUUUGACACCACAAUAGUGGAAUAUUUGGCUGUUUCAGUUGAUCAUUCUAAAAUUUGAUGUGUUUUGGAUUGGCUUAUUCCAAAGAAUGUCAAAAAGUAAGAGGUUUUUUUUUUUAAUUUAACAUGUUAGUAUCAGAAAUUUAUAGAAAAUUAUAGUAAAGUAGCUAAGCCUUUUGACAAAAUUGACUCAGAAGGAUAAUUUUAACUGGAGAUCAAAUUCUCUAGUCUUUCUUGGAACUCAAAAGAUUCUUGAUUAGUCCACAGUUGUUGCACUUCUAGAUUUUUCCAAGCUUUUUGAGAUUUGAGUGUGACACCUCUGGAAGAGGAAUUGGCGCUAUAUUUUAAUGCAGAAUAGAAGACCAAUAACUUAUUUUUGUAAAACUUUAUCAGAAGUAAUCGAGAAAUCGGUCGCUCUUCGCUCCGAAUAGGUACUUAUUUGGGUUAAGCUUGAUUUUAUACAUCCUCAAGGUUUUGCAGGUUUCUUCGACGUCUGCACAAAAGUUAGUGACUCAAAGAGAUUGUAUUAAUAUGGCAUUGAUAAUAUCUCUAUAUUGCGGUCGAUCUGUCGUCAGAACAUCUUGUUCAUCAGCCUUUGGUAAGUGGCACCGAAGUUCUUUAAUCCGAGCGGCAUGACAUUGUAGCAGUAGGCUCCGUCGGUCGUAAUGAAGUUGACCUUCUCUUAGUCUUCCUUGGCGAGCGACACUUGAUGGUAGCUCUGGUAUGCAUCAAGCAUGUAGAUCAGUUCGCAACCAGUCAUAGAAUCCACCAUUUGAUCAAUACGCGACAGGAGAGAAAUCUUUUGGGCAAACCUUGUUCAAGUCACAGAAGUCGAUGCAUACCCGCCAUUUGUUGCCCGGCUUGGACACUAGCACAACGUUGGCCAGCUAGCUCGGAAAUUGAACUUCAUAGAUGUUGCCGGCCUCUAACAAUUUUUCUAUUUUCGCACGGAUGAUUUGAUUAUGCUCCGAGUUGAAGUCCUUUUUUCUAUGUUUCACCGGUUGGGCCUCUGAUCGGACGUGAAGCUCAUGCUAUGGCACACUCGGUGAGAUGUUCCGGAGCUUGUGAGUCGACCAGGCGAACACAUCAUGAUUGUGCCUAAGGUAAGACACCAGCUCGACCUUCCUCUCAUUUGUAAGGUCAGUCACGACAAAAGUUGUAGCUUCUGGUCGGCUAGGAUGGAUUUGGACCUCCUCCUUUUCAUCAUAGACCAGUGUAGGAGGCUCCUCGAUGAUUGUGUUUAACUCCAAAUGCUAAGCCUUCCGAGCGGCACAGACCUCGGUCUUAACCAUCUCCAUGUAGUACCGCCUAGCGGCCAGUUGAUUGCCCUUGACUUUGCCAACCUCGUUGUCCACUGGGAACUUAACCUUCUGACAAAAGGUGGACACUACCGCUUGGACAAAUAUAACAUUGUAGGCGGACAACGCAUCCACCAUAAUUAAGUUCAUGGUCCUGGUCCUCUUGAGCGGCUCUUCUCCAAGGCAUAUAGCCAACCUAGCCUGGCUGGUCGACAACACUUCAUUGUCAGUGAACCCGUAUAAGGGAGUUGGCAUGGCUACAAUUCGCUCUGGUCGAUUGGCAGCUGAUCAAAUGCCUUUUUGAAGAUGAUAUUCAUCGAGCUACCUAUAUCUACAAAAGUUCGGUGAAUGUUGUAGUUAACGAUUACCGCUUUGAUGAUUAGGGUAUCAUCGUGAGGGACCUCCCCUCCCUCUAAGUCUCAAGGAUCGAAAUUGAUCUCUAGUCCCUCUGUUGCUACUCUACUGCACCCGACGACGUGGAUCUCAAGGCGUUGCGCGUGUGACUUCUUGGCUCAAUUGGAAUUGCCAUCGGUCGAAUCUCCUGUGAUCAUUCCAAUAUCGCCCAGGGCGGUGUUGUGGCGAUUCUCCUCCUCCCAAGCCGAGGGUCGCGGAUGCUCAGUUGAUGCUCUUUGGCCUUGUGCCGGCUACUGCCCUCUCGAUCGUCGGUGAUGGUGUCGAUCAGGGGAUGGCGAUUGGCGAUGCGACCUUGGUGAUGCCGCUCGACGGGGCUUCAGCGUGAGACUAUAAUAGUCUUUGGUGUUGUGUGUCGCCACCUAGUGGAACGAGCAGAAGAGUGACGUCCAUUGAUGUCUCUCGAUGGAUCUUCCUCGCUUGGCUUCCACAUGUCGCACCGCGUGUGUACGAGCCUUUUGCUGUGUCGCUCCUACUCGAGGUCCCUUUGGUGGUGGGUUCGCAUGGGCCAUUCAGCACUCUCGAACGGCUGAUGGAUCGAGGAUUUGUUGCUUCUUCCUAGUUGUCUGGGCCUCCUUUACGUUGACGUACUCGGUAGCUCGCUCGAGUAGAUAAUUGAAGUCACGUGGAGGCCUCCAAAUGAGUGACCAAAAGAACUCAUCCUCUAGAAGCCCUUGUGAAAACACAUUCAUAAGGAUCUCUGGAGUGGCUGAUGAGACUUCCAUAACUAUUUGAUUGAAUCUUUUGAUGCAGGCCCGCAGGGUUUUCUUGGACCCUUGCUUGAUCGCGAAUAGGCUAACAUUUGUCCUCUGGAAACGGUGAUUGCUCACGAAUUGUUGUAAAAAUACUACUCGGAAGUCUUUAAAACUACUUAUAGAUCCGAUCGACAGUCACCUAAACCACUUUUAAGUUGAUCUGAAGUGUGUAGUCAGAAACACUCGGUAUUUGACCCCCAUCGGAGUACUGAUGGAGCGUGACCACGUUGUCGAAUUUGAUGAGGUGAUCCUCAAGAUCAGUGUAUUCUCCGAUGGUUGGCGGUAUGUAGUAUCGCGACAGCCGAUCGUCCAAGAUUUCUUGAGAAAAUUGCAUGUUUAUUCGCUCGGGUGAAUCGUCAAGCCUCGAUGCUUUACCCUUGCGCACAUCUCGAGCGGGCGCUUCCUCCGAUGAUGAUCCUUGGGCCUUAUUUGCUCGGCCUCGUUCUUCUGAGGGGGUGCGGAAUAAUGCUCAGUGGUAAGGGAGCGACGCAUUCUGUGCUUCUCCAAAUGUGUCAAUCGGCCCGUUGCUAGGCCGACGGACGACGGGGUUUUUUACUCAGCCUCUAUGAUUGGCUUGUUGUCUUAUCGCAUACGUUGUGGGUUCAUUUGCUUGAUAAUCAACUAUCACCUGUUGUUGCUGCUCCAACAUAUUCGUCGCUUGUGCUUGCACCAGCAUCUCGAACUCCUCUUGCGUCAAUAUUACUGUGGUGAGUCGUCCAACGCUCUCCGUCUUUACAUCCUGACUUUAGGUAGCUAUUCCCAUAGACGGCGCCAGAUAUAAUCCUAUAUGGAAAUAACAUAGAUGGCAAGCUGGGGAUGUGGCUUCGGUGUUGACGCAGUGAAGACUUCAUAUGUUCCUGCAGCACAAAAAUGUCAGUGCCGAGCCGAGAAAGGAUUCCCGGCGUUGGCCUUCCGACGCUUAAGUCAGUUUUCGGCGAUCUUAAGUAGUAUGGAACUAUAGCUAAGAGAUGUAGAAAACCAAAUUGCGCAUACCUUUUCUUGUAGCUAGGAAUCCCAUUUUAUACUGUCAACCUAGUACUCGUGCACACAUCUCAAGGCAUAUGCACAUUUUCCUAGGUUUCCUAGGAAGAGACAGGUUGAAAAGUAUCUCUGACGACAUUCUUUAAGCAGUAACGCAAUCCUAUGACGUGACAGCUUGGAAGCUUCGAAAGUACAAUUGCCUGCUGGACAUGGCCUGUUGGCAACAACACAAACUCCCAAAGGAAUAUGACAAGAUACUUGAUUGGGUCAUGCACAGCCGAUUGGGAUCCAUUAGGUUGGUCUGCUUUCGCUCAACAUUGCCCUAAGUGCUUGUCGAGUUGACUCUUUCCUUACUUCCUGAUUAUCCGUGGUUAUCCUGCUCUGACUAGACGUAAAGCCCGAUUGGCAAGACCAACUACUACUUCUCUUUGUCAUCUAAGGGUCAUUUACCCAAUCGGAGAGAGUCUGACUUCUUGUUUUCAACGUUGGUAUCAUUCGCUCGGUCGUACAUCACUCAGCCGUUCAUGGUCCGCUCGACCAUACAUGGUCCACUCGAUCGACUUGGAUACCUCCCGGAGUUUGUCUUUCACAUCCGCCAAUUUUCCUGACUUUGACCUAUCUUUGGUAGGGCCGCUUAUUAUUACCAUAUCAAUGAGCUUGAGCUUGAUUCGUUUAGACGUUAUCGAAAUCUCAAUUUGAUUGUUUGAAACUUUUACAUUUUAAGUUUGUUAGAUUAAUUAUUGAGUUUGAUAAUAUAAAUUUAUUUAUUUGUUUUAAAAGUUUCAUUAUUUAAUUAAUAUAUUGAUAAGAGUUUUAUUCAUGAGCAUGAUUUAUAAAUAUUAUUGAUAAACAUUAUUCAUGAAUAUUGUUCACAAACGAAAGUUAAUAAGUUAAAUACAUGUGUUCAAGCUUAUUCGUUUAGUUAAAUAAGUUGUUCAAAUAUAUUUAUUUAAUUAAUUUUAUAUAUAUUAAAUAAAUAUAAACAAAUUCUUACCAAUUAAAUACCAAACUUAUUCAUAAUCAUUCAAUUGAUUUACAGUUAAGUUCUACCCGUUCUCGAUUGCUUGGCUUAAGUAGUAAUAAUCUUGCUACAUCGAGGUGAACUCAGCGUAUUUUUUUUAAAAAAAAAUUACCCUUGAUAAUUUAAAAUUUUAUAUUAAUGAUAAAUUUAUAUUUAACUAAUUUCAUGAUAAAUAGAUUAUAUCAUUUUCAGGGAUGGAUCUAGGAUUUUAAGUUGGAGGCCGUAUAUUAAGUGACGAAAAUAUUUAUUAAAUGUAUUAUAUAAUAAUGACCUCUUCAAACUUUCAAAAUACAUAAUGUAUAUUUAGUUAAAAUGUGAAAAAAUAAAGAAGGAAAAAAACUUAAAUUUAGUCCUACAAAUAUUUGAACUCAAGAGAUGUGUUAAAAUAAAAAUAAAACUUACUAUUACACAAACUAUACAUAUCUUUUAAAUUAGGGUAAAAUAAUAUAUGUAUUAAUAAAAUUUUAAAAUACUUUUCUAUAAAAUUAUGUUAUUAAAAAAUUUUGGGGGUCAUGGUCUCCUCAUGUCCUAAUGUAGAUCUGCCCUGAUCAUUUUAGAUUAUCUUUUUAAAAAAUAUUUCGAAAGUAAUUAAAAUCAGGAAAUAGAAGAAAUUUCAAAAUCAAUUAGUUUUUAACAGGUAAUUCACAUAAUUCUGUGGAGUUCAGAUAACGGAUUUCCACGUGACUCAAUCAAAAUCUCAAUUGACACGUACCAACGGCCCAACAUGAUCCUAAAAUUUUAAUUCACACGUCUCUUUUUUUUUUUUCUUGUUUUGUUUUUCCUUUGUCGACCCCUCCGGCCGUGGCAAGGGAGGCAAGGGGCUCGGCAAAGCGGCACCUCAAGGUCCUCCGUGACAACAUUCAGGCAUUACGAAGCAGGCGAGACGGCGCCAGCCAUGGCGGCGACAAGCACAUCAGCGGACUCAUCUACGAGAAAACCCGCGGCGUCCUCAAGAUCUUCCUCGAGAAGAACGUCAUACACCUACACUGAGCACUCCCCGCCGCAAGACUGCACUCUCUAUGGCUUCGGCGGCUGAGCCAACUUCUGCGAAACUCUAAGCUGAACAAGGAGGUCAGCACACAAAUCAAGAAAUUGAAGCUGAGGGCCGCUCACCCUCAUCAAAUCCAGAAGGUACUUCUCUUCCAAGGUCUUGUAAAGCUGCAAAACGCGUAUAUAAAGACACAUGAUUGAUCUAUCCUCUAUCCUCUGGUAA
Molecule: RNA transcript, 9483 nt
Organism: Zingiber officinale
Lineage: Eukaryota; Viridiplantae; Streptophyta; Magnoliopsida; Zingiberales; Zingiberaceae
Gene name: DNA topoisomerase 6 subunit B-like
Exons: 6
Source: RefSeq, a predicted model, not a curated record